GACAGAGGAUGCAAGCGUUAUCCGGAAUGAUUGGGCGUAAAGCGUCUGUAGGUGGCUUUUUAAGUCCGCCGUCAAAUCCCAGGGCUCAACCCUGGACAGGCGGUGGAAACUACCAAGCUGGAGUACGGUAGGGGCAGAGGGAAUUUCCGGUGGAGCGGUGAAAUGCGUGAGAUAUUGGAAAGACCACCAAUGGCGAAGGCACUCUACUGGGCAUUACUGACACUGAGAGACGAAAGCUAGGGGAGCAAAUGGG
RNAcentral lists this ribosomal RNA (253 nucleotides) under uncultured bacterium. Its description in RNAcentral is "partial 16S ribosomal RNA". It matches the Rfam family "Bacterial small subunit ribosomal RNA", at positions 524 to 776 of the family's 1533-position model. The record is from RNAcentral.